GGGGGUUCUGGGGGGUACUGGGGGGUACCGGGGGUUAACGGGGGGGUAACGGGGGAGGACUGAGGGGGCCGGCAGGGGGCGCUCUAGCACACAUCGGGCAACUCUAUGGUAGCGCCGCUCUAGCCGCGCGCUCUAUGGUGCCGCGCGCUACUUCCGGCCCGCCCCUGGGUUGGGGAGGGUGACCCGGAAGUGCUGUGGCGGGUUGGCGGGCGGGAACUACAACUCCCAGCAGCCCCCGCGGCGGGCGCGGCUUAACCCCUCCCCCCCCUUUCCCCCCCCCCUUCACACCCAGCCGGCGUCGCCGCCGUGCUGACGUCAUCGUCGCGGCGGCGUCACCGCGCCGCGGCGACGUCAUCACGCCGCGGCGACGUCAUCACGCCGCGGGACGCCGGCGGCCAGUCGUGAUAGCGGUGGCUGAUGGGUGCUCAGUGUCGUGA
This 437-nucleotide long non-coding RNA is filed under the name Anas platyrhynchos (mallard). RNAcentral describes it as "lncRNA (ENSAPLG00020011919.1)". The record is from RNAcentral. Lineage: Eukaryota; Metazoa; Chordata; Aves; Anseriformes; Anatidae.